This 179-nucleotide ribosomal RNA is filed under the name uncultured bacterium. Its description in RNAcentral is "partial 16S ribosomal RNA". It matches the Rfam family "Bacterial small subunit ribosomal RNA", at positions 1321 to 1500 of the family's 1533-position model. The record is from RNAcentral.
UGAAGCCGGAAUUGCUAGUAAUGGCAGGUCAGCAUACUGCCGUGAAUACGUUCCCGGGCCUUGUACACACCGCCCGUCACACCAUGAGAGUUGGAGAUACCCGAAGCCUAUGAGCUAACUUUUAGAGGCAGUAGUCGAAGGUAGAAUCAAUGAUUGGGGUGAAGUCGUAACAAGGUAAC